GGAAGUUUAGUUAAAGAAUAACAUUAAUUUGUCAAGUUAAAAUUAUUAAAAAAUAUCUUCAU
RNAcentral lists this transfer RNA (62 nucleotides) under Brontispa longissima. Its description in RNAcentral is "tRNA-Asp". The record is from RNAcentral. Lineage: Eukaryota; Metazoa; Arthropoda; Insecta; Coleoptera; Chrysomelidae.